GACGUAGGGUGCAAGCGUUGUCCGGAUUUAUUGGGCGUAAAGAGCUCGUAGGCGGCUUGUUGCGUCGACUGUGAAAACCCGCGGCUUAACCGCGGGCUUGCAGUUGAUACGGGCAGGCUAGAGUUCGGUAGGGGAGACUGGAACUCCUGGUGUAGCGGUGAAAUGCGUAGAUAUCGGUAGGAACACCAGUGGCGAAGGCGGUCUCCUGGGGCAUUCUUGACGCUGAGGCGCGAAAGCUGGGGGAGCAAACGGG
RNAcentral lists this ribosomal RNA (253 nucleotides) under uncultured bacterium. RNAcentral describes it as "partial 16S ribosomal RNA". It matches the Rfam family "Bacterial small subunit ribosomal RNA", at positions 524 to 776 of the family's 1533-position model. The record is from RNAcentral.